RNAcentral lists this ribosomal RNA (465 nucleotides) under uncultured bacterium. RNAcentral's name for it is "bacterial SSU rRNA". It matches the Rfam family "Bacterial small subunit ribosomal RNA", at positions 329 to 792 of the family's 1533-position model. The record is from RNAcentral.
GACCAGACUCCUACGGGAGGCAGCAGUGAGGAAUAUUGGUCAAUGGGCGAGAGCCUGAACCAGCCAAGUCGCGUGAGGGAAGACGGUCCUAUGGAUUGUAAACCUCUUUUGCCGGGGAGCAAAAAGCGGUACGUGUACCGCAUCGAGAGUACCCGGAGAAAAAGCAUCGGCUAACUCCGUGCCAGCAGCCGCGGUAAUACGGAGGAUGCGAGCGUUAUCCGGAUUUAUUGGGUUUAAAGGGUGCGCAGGCGGCGAGUUAAGUCGGCGGUAAAAUUUCGGGGCUCAACCCCGGCCUGCCGUUGAAACUGGCGGCCUCGAGUGGGCGAGAAGUAUGCGGAAUGCGUGGUGUAGCGGUGAAAUGCAUAGAUAUCGCGCAGAACUCCGAUUGCGAAGGUAGCAUGCCGGCUCCACACUGACGCUGAGGCACGAAAGCGUGGGUAUCGAACAGGAUUAGAUACCCCCGUA